This 450-nucleotide ribosomal RNA is filed under the name uncultured Rheinheimera sp. RNAcentral describes it as "bacterial SSU rRNA". It matches the Rfam family "Bacterial small subunit ribosomal RNA", at positions 354 to 796 of the family's 1533-position model. The record is from RNAcentral. Lineage: Bacteria; Pseudomonadati; Pseudomonadota; Gammaproteobacteria; Chromatiales; Chromatiaceae.
GUGGGGAAUAUUGGACAAUGGGCGCAAGCCUGAUCCAGCCAUGCCGCGUGUGUGAAGAAGGCCUUCGGGUUGUAAAGCACUUUCAGCGAGGAGGAAGGGUUGUGUGUUAAUAGUACACAGCCUUGACGUUACUCGCAGAAGAAGCACCGGCUAACUCUGUGCCAGCAGCCGCGGUAAUACAGAGGGUGCAAGCGUUAAUCGGAAUUACUGGGCGUAAAGCGCACGUAGGCGGUUUUUUAAGUCAGAUGUGAAAGCCCCGGGCUCAACCUGGGAAUUGCAUUUGAAACUGGAAAACUAGAGUGUGUGAGAGGGGGGUAGAAUUCCAAGUGUAGCGGUGAAAUGCGUAGAGAUUUGGAGGAAUACCAGUGGCGAAGGCGGCCCCCUGGCACAACACUGACGCUCAGGUGCGAAAGCGUGGGGAGCAAACAGGAUUAGAUACCCUGGUAGUCC